GUAUUACUUAUGUGUUUUGCAGAAUUUACAGAAGGAAUUUGCAAACCAGAAUUUAGGCAUUUAAAAACAACAGUGAGUCAAUCACGGUCUUAUAGAUGGAAAUUGACUUACUAUUUAAAAGUAUCCCAAAUCUUCACUAAGGUUGUAAUCAUGGAACACUGAGUUGUAGUGAAAAACCAAACUGCCAAAUUUAGGUUAAAAUAACUAAGCUGUAAAUAUAGCUAAGUGGAAGAAAUUUCCAAAUCAAUACUUUUUUGCCAAAAUUUAGCAUUUCAGAUGUUACUUCACUACCAUGCGGUGUUUAUUGAAUAAACCUCUGUAUCUUUUGAGAGCAAGAUUGGUGACAAUAUAAUUUUAAAGUAUUCAAGCAUACAAAAAGCAAAAUUGAACCUUUCAUUCACGUUGCUUUUUAUAUUAUUAUUAUUAU
Non-coding RNA from Pelobates cultripes (western spadefoot toad), 427 nucleotides. The record is from the annotation of a GenBank genome assembly. NCBI's taxonomy places the organism in Eukaryota, Metazoa, Chordata, Amphibia, Anura, Pelobatidae.